CUUUCGUUAGAUCACCGAAGUGAAGCAUCAUUGGGCGCGGUCAGUACUUGGGUGGGUGACCACCUGGGAACAUCGCGUGCCGUU
Molecule: ribosomal RNA, 84 nt
Filed under: Caerostris darwini
Lineage: Eukaryota; Metazoa; Arthropoda; Arachnida; Araneae; Araneidae
Source: RNAcentral